CUUGGUCAUUUAGAGGAAGUAAAGUCGUAACAAGGUUUCACUCCUGAACAACGAGUCCUUCGUAGUACUAUGGAAGCCUUUGCAACCCCACGGGGGUCCCCGACUAUAACUGGGACAGCAAGUCGCCUCGGCGGCAACAUGAUCGAAUUGCGGGGACGUCCUAAAGCUCUCACCACUCCCCCCCAUCAGAAACGAUGGGGGCUCGUCACAGCGUGAGAGAUGUACAAUGGGCGAUCCGCAGCGAAGCCCCGUCAGCCUACCCUGUAGGGCCGGGGACCGUUCACAGACUAGGUGGUCAUGGGCACCGCGGUGCUUAAGAUAUAGUCGGCCAGCUGGGGAAACCUGACUGCUAGCGCGUUCCGUAGGUGAACCUGCGGAAGGAUCAUUACAGAGUUCCUGCCCUCACGGGUAGAAACCCCACCCUUGUGUAUAUUAUAUUGUUGCUUUAGCAGGUCGCCCCCCGGGGCGUUGGCCUCGGCUGACCGUGCCUGCUAGAGGAUCCUAAACUUUGAAAUACAGUGUCGUCUGAGUACUAUUUAAUAGUUAAAACUUUCAACAACGGAUCUCUUGGUUCUGGCAUCGAUGAAGAACGCAGCGAAAUGCGAUAAGUAAUGUGAAUUGCAGAAUUCAGUGAAUCAUCGAAUCUUUGAACGCACAUUGCGCCCCUUGGUAUUCCGGGGGGCAUGCCUGUUCGAGCGUCAUUUAGACCAACUCCCGCUCCGGCGGGGUCUUGGGCUCCGCCUCUGGGCGGGCCUUAAAACCAGUGGCGGUGCCCUAAGGCUCUACGCGUAGUAAUUCUUCUCGCGAUAGGGUCCUUGAGGUGUCUUGCCAGAAACCCCCAACUCUCUAGGGUUGACCUCGGAUCAGGUAGGGAUACCCGCUGAACUUAAGCAUAUCAAUAAGCGGAGGA
This 910-nucleotide ribosomal RNA is filed under the name Hymenoscyphus albidus. Its description in RNAcentral is "eukaryotic LSU rRNA". The stretch from base 548 to 701 matches the Rfam family "5.8S ribosomal RNA". The record is from RNAcentral. Lineage: Eukaryota; Fungi; Ascomycota; Leotiomycetes; Helotiales; Helotiaceae.